AAAAACUAAGGUGGUAUAUGAUGGAUCCGCGUCUGAUUAGCCAGUUGGUGAGGUAACGGCUCACCAAAGCGACGAUCAGUAGCCGGCCUGAGAGGGCGGACGGCCACAUUGGGACUGAGACACGGCCCAGACUCCUGCGGGAGGCAGCAGUGGGGGAUAUUGCACAAUGGGGGAAACCCUGAUGCAGCGACGCCGCGUGAGUGAAGAAGUAAUUCGUUACGUAAAGCUCUAUCAGCAGGGAAGAAAAUGACGGUACCUGACUAAGAAGCCCCGGCUAACUACGUGCCAGCAGCCGCGGUAAUACGUAGGGGGCAAGCGUUAUCCGGAAUUACUGGGUGUAAAGGGAGCGCAGACGGCAGUGCAAGUCUGGAGUGAAAGCCCGUGGCUUAACCACGGGACUGCUCUGGAAACUGUGCAGCUAGAGUGCAGGAGAGGCAGGCGGAAUUCCUAGUGUAGCGGUGAAAUGCGUAGAUAUUAGGAGGAACACCGGUGGCGAAGGCGGCCUGCUGGACUGUAACUGACGUUGAGGCUCGAAAGCGUGGGGAGCAAACAGGAUUAGAUACCCUGGUAGUCCACGCCGUAAACGAUGAUUACUAGGUGUCGGGGGACGAUAGU
Molecule: ribosomal RNA, 615 nt
Filed under: uncultured bacterium
Lineage: Bacteria
Description: bacterial SSU rRNA
Rfam family: Bacterial small subunit ribosomal RNA
Source: RNAcentral